This 467-nucleotide ribosomal RNA is filed under the name uncultured bacterium. RNAcentral describes it as "partial 16S ribosomal RNA". It matches the Rfam family "Bacterial small subunit ribosomal RNA", at positions 28 to 506 of the family's 1533-position model. The record is from RNAcentral.
GACGAACGCUGGCGGCGUGCUUAACACAUGCAAGUCGAACGGAAAGGCCCUGCUUUUGUGGGGUGCUCGAGUGGCGAACGGGUGAGUAACACGUGAGUAACCUGCCCUUGACUUUGGGAUAACUUCAGGAAACUGGGGCUAAUACCGGAUAGGAGCUCCUGCUGCAUGGUGGGGGUUGGAAAGUUUCGGCGGUUGGGGAUGGACUCGGGGCUUAUCAGCUUGUUGGUGGGGUAGUGGCUUACCAAGGCUUUGACGGGUAGCCGGCCUGAGAGGGUGACCGGCCACAUUGAGACUGAGAGACGGCCCAGACUCCUACGGGAGGCAGCAGUGGGGAAUAUUGCACAAUGGGCGGAAGCCUGAUGCAGCAACGCCGCGUGCGGGAUGACGGCCUUCGGGUGGUAAACCGCUUUCGCCUGUGACGAAGCGUGAGUGACGGUAAUGGGUAAAGAAACACCGGCUAACUACGU